This 253-nucleotide ribosomal RNA is filed under the name uncultured bacterium. Its description in RNAcentral is "partial 16S ribosomal RNA". It matches the Rfam family "Bacterial small subunit ribosomal RNA", at positions 524 to 776 of the family's 1533-position model. RNAcentral also lists the same sequence under 2 other names. The record is from RNAcentral.
UACGGAGGGGGCUAGCGUUGUCCGAAGUUACUGGGCGUAAAGCGCGCGUAGGCGGGUUGGUAAGUCCGCUGUGAAAGCCCGGAGCUCAACUCCGGAGGGUCGGUGGAUACUGCCAGUCUUGAAGGUGCUAGGGGGAGAUGGAAUUACCGGUGUAGCGGUGAAAUGCGUAGAUAUCGGUAGGAACACCAGUGGCGAAGGCGGUCUCCUGGGGCAUUCUUGACGCUGAGGCGCGAAAGCUGGGGGAGCGAACGGG